Molecule: ribosomal RNA, 579 nt
Filed under: Pichia scaptomyzae
Lineage: Eukaryota; Fungi; Ascomycota; Pichiomycetes; Pichiales; Pichiaceae
Description: eukaryotic LSU rRNA
Rfam family: Eukaryotic large subunit ribosomal RNA
Source: RNAcentral
CAAACCGAGGAAAAGAAACCAACAGGGAUUGCCCCAGUAGCGGCGAGUGAAGCGGCAAGAGCUCAGAUUUGAAAUCGUGUCUUUGGCACGAGUUGUAGAGUGUAGGCGGGAGUCUUUGUGGAGCACGGUGUCCAAGUCCCUUGGAACAGGGCGCCUGAGAGGGUGAGAGCCCCGUGGGGUGCCGUGCGAAGCUUUGAGGCCCUGCUGACGAGUCGAGUUGUUUGGGAAUGCAGCUCCAAGUGGGUGGUAAAUUCCAUCUAAGGCUAAAUACUGGCGAGAGACCGAUAGCGAACAAGUACUGUGAAGGAAAGAUGAAAAGCACUUUGAAAAGAGAGUGAAACAGCACGUGAAAUUGUUGAAAGGGAAGGGUAUUGGGCCCGACAUGGGGAGUGCGCACCGCUGUCUCUUGUAGGCGGCGCUCUGGGCGCUCUCUGGGCCAGCAUCGGUUCUUGCUGCGGGAGAAUGGGUGCCGGAAAGUGGCUCUUCGGAGUGUUAUAGCCGGCGCCAGAUACCGCGUGCGGGGACCGAGGACUGCGGCUUCGUCUCGGAUGCGCCAUGAUUGAAUCAAAAGCAAACCGG